Molecule: transfer RNA, 66 nt
Filed under: Taxidea taxus (American badger)
Lineage: Eukaryota; Metazoa; Chordata; Mammalia; Carnivora; Mustelidae
Description: tRNA-Pro
Source: RNAcentral
CAGGGAAUAGUUUAAGCUAGAAUGUCAGCUUUGGGUGUUGAUGGUGGGGCGAUAGUCUCUUCCUUG